GAACGCUGGCGGCGUGCUUAACACAUGCAAGUCGAGCGGAAAGGCCCUUCGGGGUACUCGAGCGGCGAACGGGUGAGUAACACGUGAGUAACCUGCCCCUGACUUCGGGAUAAGCCUGGGAAACCGGGUCUAAUACCGGAUAUGACCACCGCGGGCAUCCGCUGGUGGUGGAAAGUUUUUUCGGUCGGGGAUGGGCUCGCGGCCUAUCAGCUUGUUGGUGGGGUAGUGGCCUACCAAGGCGACGACGGGUAGCCGGCCUGAGAGGGCGACCGGCCACACUGGGACUGAGACACGGCCCAGACUCCUACGGGAGGCAGCAGUGGGGAAUCUUGCGCAAUGGGCGGAAGCCUGACGCAGCGACGCCGCGUGGGGGAUGACGGCCUUCGGGUUGUAAACCUCUUUCAGCAGGGACGAAGUUGACGUGUACCUGUAGAAGAAGCGCCGGCUAACUACGUGCCAGCAGCCGCGGUAAUACGUAGGGCGCGAGCGUUGUCCGGAAUUAUUGGGCGUAAAGAGCUCGUAGGUGGCUU
This 530-nucleotide ribosomal RNA is filed under the name Astrosporangium sp. Its description in RNAcentral is "bacterial SSU rRNA". It matches the Rfam family "Bacterial small subunit ribosomal RNA", at positions 31 to 581 of the family's 1533-position model. The record is from RNAcentral. Lineage: Bacteria; Bacillati; Actinomycetota; Actinomycetes; Streptosporangiales; Streptosporangiaceae.